GGGGAUGUAGCUCAGUGGGAAAGCUCUUGCCUUGCAUGUAAGGGGUCCUGAGUUCAACCCUGAGCAUCUCCA
This 72-nucleotide transfer RNA is filed under the name Leptosomus discolor (cuckoo roller). It matches the Rfam family "tRNA". Rfam says of the family: Transfer RNA (tRNA) molecules are approximately 80 nucleotides in length. The record is from Rfam by way of RNAcentral. Lineage: Eukaryota; Metazoa; Chordata; Aves; Leptosomiformes; Leptosomidae.